RNAcentral lists this long non-coding RNA (2095 nucleotides) under Nicotiana benthamiana. RNAcentral describes it as "long non-coding RNA (NBEN_LNC011352)". Lineage: Eukaryota; Viridiplantae; Streptophyta; Magnoliopsida; Solanales; Solanaceae. The record is from RNAcentral.
AGCUAGAAGUGCAGAAGACCAUUCAAACUGAGGAUACAUAAAAAAACUAUUUCAAAUGUCUAGAUAGUCCUACAUUCCUAACGCUAGGGCAUGAAUGAAAAUUAUGCAUAACUCGACUGAUUCGCGACCAAUACACAAACCAACAUGAAAACUUUGCAAACACACGAGCCAUUUAAGCAUAGUAAACCAGCAAACAAACCAACAUGGGCCAAUAGUCAGAAUACUGCAUUUAAACUGACCAUCAACAGCCUAGAACAACUCUUAAACACCUCUUAAACAAGGUAGAUUUCAGAAUACUGCUUGCACAGUGCAAAACAGGCAGAUUUUCAGCAAAACUACAUGAGGCAAAUUUCUAUCAAGCUAACAUUCCAAACAAAUGUCCUACAAACUGAUUCUAACAGCAAAAGUCGUGUUUCACUAGCCCAAAUGGCCAAAAAUCAGAUUUGAUUUGAUCAAAUGCCAACAACAAACGAUAAGAUUCAGAAUAAAAACCAUAUUCCAAUGCAAAGAUAAGUACAAAGCAUCUCAAAAAAUGUGUGAGAUUAACAAAGAUGAUCCCUAUAUCUUAGUUUGUAAACCCCCAGAACAAGAGGGAGGAGCAGAGAGAAAAAUUUACCUGGAAAGAUUCCAUAUUGCUCGAUAAAUCAACCUUCGAUUUUGGGAGAGAGCUUAGAACAAAUGACAUGAAUCAACACCAGGAGCAACCGAACAAAAUAAAACACCUCGGAAGAACUGAACUAAUCACAAAAGAUGGCUCGACUAGGAUUUAACAGAGAAUCACAACAGUUCUAAAUAGACACCCAAAUUCAGGAAUCAGUUGACAUAUACACAGCCAAACCAAUCCAGAAACACUCGUGCAAAUCACAAACCAACAAAUUAUGACCAACAGUCACCAAGACUUAUACAAUUCUAAACCAGCUGAACUCAAACUCAAUACAUUUCUUAAUCAAAGAUAGGCUACAUGGGAUUAGAAAUGAACCCGAAUCAAUAAACACUCGCGAUUAACUUUGCUCGAACGUUGAAUACAAAUGAAAUCCAAUAGCUAGUAUCAGCAACCAGCAACAGAAAUGAGUAGGAAUCAGUUGACAUAUACACAGCCAAACCAAUCCAGAAACACUCGUGCAAAUCACAAACCAACAAAUUAUGACCAACAGUCACCAAGACUUAUACAAUUCUAAACCAGCUGAACUCAAACUCAACACAUUUCUUAAUCAAAGAUAGGCUACAUGGGAUUAGAAAUGAACCCGAAUCAAUAAACACUCGCGAUUAACUUUGCUCGAACGUUGAAUACAAAUGAAAUCCAAUAGCUAGUAUCAGCAACCAGCAACAGAAAUGAGUAGGAAUUAGAAGCUCAGACAGCGACACACUCAAGCAACUUUCAAUCGAACUCCAUUUUGAGAACCAAAAUCAAAACAAAUAUUGAAAUCUUUUGGUGAUUUUCUGAUUUCUUCUAAAAUGAAACUCAAGUAAAAAUCAAACUCAAACUAUUAUUUUUUGUAUUUUUGUUUUUCUGAAAAUGCAGUACCAACGUGAAGAGAAAGAAAACUAAGAACCCUAUAACUUUUUACCUCUCCGAAAAUUCUCUCCAAAACCCCCUAAUUUCUGAAAAACCUCACCUUAUAUAGACUUUGUAGCUCUUCUCGAACCUUCUCCGCACACCCCUCUAAAAGUUUUUGUAAUUUCUUUACUAUGAAUGAUAUUUUGGAGGGCAAGGAUUGAUUUUCAUCCAUCCACGACUGCCAUUUAUCCAGCGAAUCGAUCCGGAGCUAAACAAUGCGCAAAAAUCUCAGUAUGGAAUCUUCAAUUUGUCAGAAACCGUUACAUUGUGGUGAGAGGGAGAGAGGGGAACACGUGGGGAGAAAUCUGAGGCUCACUCACACAGAUUUUGGCUAAAAUAGGGGUUUGAUUCGAGUUUUUCUUUGGAGAAGAAGAACAGUCGCGUUUGGGAUUAGGGGUUUUGAGUCUUAAGUCUGUAUGAAUCCGUUCAUGUAUUUUGUGGAGAUGGGUCACGGUUUGGGGGUAUCUAGGCCGGGUCUGGGGUGGAAAUAGUUUGGGCUUGGGAGAUUAGAAUUAAAAAAAAAAAAAAACAAAUUUU